GACGCCAUUUGGCUAACAGAAACACACAGAGGGAAUCGCAGAAUCGUUUUUAUGGCCGCUGCGCCCCCUGAAUGAUAAUGAUAAUCGAGUCCCAACUGGGUGAAUCUCUGGCUUCGCCCUGUCCACCGGACAGUGCAGUCCAGCCAAGUCGAUUCUGGUUGCCUCUGUGAAUUUUUCUGCCUGAUUGUGCGCACGCGCUCAUAAUCAAAGAGCCUUCUCCUCCCAAACCCGCCAACUUGGCCAACUCGCUGCUGGGCUGGCCUUUUAUGAUGG
Molecule: non-coding RNA, 273 nt
Organism: Drosophila melanogaster (fruit fly)
Lineage: Eukaryota; Metazoa; Arthropoda; Insecta; Diptera; Drosophilidae
Source: Ensembl